AGUGAUCAACAUGGAGGUCAGCAAGCUAGUGAAGAAAGCCAGAUACCAGAAGAAGCCGUGGAAGAGAAUGUAGUAGUUCCAUUGAGGAGAAGCACACGGUUAAAGAGAGAUGCUUCCAACUGGGUAAACACAAGAGUGUACUACAAUGCCCAAGCUGUGGAGCAUCCCUCUCAAGCUGUGUGCUCCUUUGCGUGCUAUCCAGAGAGCAUUGCGCAUUUAUGAUCAGCUUAGAUGGAAGCUAUGUGCCUAGAUCAUAUGAAGAUGCAAUGCUACAUGAAGACUGGAAGGAACCAGUAGGUGAUGAAGCUAAUGCCAUGAUAAAGAAUGAUACUUGGUUUGAAAGUGAACUGCCAAAAGGAAAGAAUAUGACUUUUAGAGUAUAAAGAGUAAUCUGAGAGUUUAAGAGAGAUUAGAGAAGUUUAGAGAUGAUUUAGAAUGAAAGAUAAGAUCAAGAGACUAAGAGAGAAGCCAUGGAGGCUAAGAGUAAUCAGAACUGUGUAAUCUUAUUAAUGAGACUGAGUUACAUAUAUAUAGUGUCGAGAUUAGGGCUUUACAAUACAAGAGGAUAAGCUACAGCAUGUGUAGUCAAAGAAGGGUGGAGCGCUUAUUUUGAAAUGAUCCAAUGAGGUUCUCCACAUGUGUAAGGCAUCUAGUAUCUUGGAUAAGAUCCCUUUUACCUUUCCAGCUGUGCUAGACUGUCACGCCCAGCUUCUUCCUUUCCCUUAACGGUCACAACUCAUCCUAAGCUUUGGGUAAAGCUUCUUCCCUUCAACCCAGUUACCCGGGUAAGUCUCUUUUACCUUUGGUCGAGUUUGGUCGAUACAAUGUGUACGGCCUGUACGGCCUGUACGGUCCAUCCGUACCAAACUCUCCCAAACUCUCCCAUGCUCUCCAUUCCUCAGUUCUACACUUCCUUAUCUCUUCAUGCCUUCAACCCCUCAUCUCUUCUCCUUAUACUCAGCUCAUCUCAACACUCCCCCUCAAUCUUAGCUUUGUGAAAGUCUAAGAUUGGACAGCCAUGAGAUCUUCCUCAUUAAAAACCUUACCAAGGAAAACCCAUUGGGAUAAAACCUUGAUAAGGGAAAAAGAGUAAAGACCUCAUGACUUAGGGGAUCAGCUCCUUCUCUUCCCAAGAUCAAUGAGGCCCAAUCUGAUGUGAAUGGACUCCAUUGUCUUUUGCCUUGCAGCUUUGGUGAACACAUCCGCCAACUGAUCUUCACUUCUAGUGUAGCAUGGCAAGAUUACCCCUAGCACAAUCAUCUGCCUCACCUUGUGACAAUCAACCUCAAUGUGCUUAGUUCUUUCAUGGAACACUGAGUUGGAGGCAAUGUGGAUGGCAGCUUGGUUAUCACAAUGCAUUGUCAUUGGCGUGGCUUGAUCAAUCUCCAAAUGCUUCAAGAUGCCUUUAAUCCACACUAGCUCAUUGGUAAGCUUCAGCAUAGCUCUAUACUCAGCUUCUGCGCUUGAACAAGAUACUACCUUCUGCUUCUUGCUCUUCCAAGUAACCAAGUUGCCUCCAAUGAAUGUGCAAUAGCCUGUGGUUGAUCUCCUGUCUGCUCUAUCACCAGCCCAAUCUGCAUCACAAUAUCCAACCACUUCAGUGCUCCCAUUGCAACCCAUCCAUACUCCUUGAUCAGGUGAGCCAUUGAGAUACAUCAAGAUUCUCUCCACCAUGCGCCAGUGAUGCUCCUUAGGCACUUGCAUGUGUUGACUCACCUGAUUCACAGCAAAGCAAAUGUCAGGUCUAGUUAUGGUAAGAUAAAUCAAUUUGCCAACUAGUUUUCUAUAGAGUUUAGGAUCCUGAUAAGGUUUGCUGUCUUCAAUCUCCCCCUCUCGUGGGACUUUGUAGCCAUCCUCCAUAGGCAUCCUUGCUGUCUUGCCUCCAUAAGCACCUGCACCUUUCAAAAGAUCAAGUGUAUACUUCCUUUGGGACAUGAACAAGCCUUCCUUGGAUCUACAUAUCUCAAUUCCAAGAAAGUAUUUCAUUUCUCCCAAGUCUUUAAUCUCAAACAUUGACUUAAGGAACUCCUUGGUUGCUAUGAUACCUUCCUUAUCACUUCCUGUGAUGAUGAUAUCAUCAACAUACACAAGGAGUGCGAUCAUACGUGAGGGAGUAGUGAGAGUGAAGAGAGUGUGAUCUAGCUCAGACUUCUUGAAGCCUCGGCCAUUAAGGGUAGUGCUCAGCUUGUUGUACCAAGCUCUUGGUGAUUGCUUCAACCCAUAGAUGGCUUUCUUCAGUCUCAACACAUUUCCUUUCUUCACUAAGUGUUCCAAGCCUGGAGGUGGAUGCAUAUACACUUCAUCCUCAAGCUCUCCUUGUAGAAAUGCAUUCUUCACAUCCAUUUGCCAUAAACCCCAUCCAAGGUUCACAGCCAAGCUUAAUACAAUCUGGAUUGUAUGUAGUUUAGCCACUGGUGCAAAGGUCUCAAUGUAGUUGAGAAUCUGAGUUCUUUGCGUAGACUAAAGACUAAAGUCAUACCUCCUCUCAUUAAGCAGCUCUGGAUCAGUUGUGCUUGGCCUCAGCAUCUCCAGUUCUGACCAUAGGGACCGGAACCUCCCCAAAUGCUUGGUGAACUCCAUGUCAUCUUGUACCAAGCCGUUUAUGGCUUUCUUUACUUCAAACACUCGGUGAAGGUUUGAAGCAUUCCCAUACACCUUCUUCAAAGUGUCCCAAAGCUCCUUAGCUGACUCACAGUAGCUGUAAGCCUCUAGGAUCGCCGGCUCUAAGGAGGCACGAAGAACAGACAUCACAAGCAUGUCUUCUCGCUGCCACUUCUCUACUGCCGUUUCAUUUGAGACCUCUUCUGAGUCUUCUCCCUGAGUAAUGAGCUGAGAAGCUUCACCAUCCGAGAGAUGCUUCCAAAGACCCUUACUUCCCACUGUGGUUCUCACCAUCCGAGACCACACCAAGUAGUUACUCCCCUUGAAAAUAACCGCCACCUUCAUGUGCAUGCUUAUCCCUCCAUCCAUCUUCAACUGCUUGUUCUUGAACUACUUGUAGAAGACUUUGAACUUGAGACUAAACCGCACCAACACUUCACGAGCUAACAACACAUGCAAAGCUUCACUCUUGUAACCACAAUGUAACCAAAGAAGACUUGAGGCUAGAGACUCCAACGAACCUUCAACCUUUAGCCUUUAGUCUACGCAAAGAACUCAGAUUCUCAAGAACCUGGCUCUGAUACCAUAUGACUUUUAGAGUAUAAAUAGUAAUCUGAGAGUUUAAGAGAGAUUAGAGAAGUUUAGAGAUGAUUUAGAAUGAAAGAUAAGAUCAAGAGACUAAGAGAGAAGCCAUGGAGGCUAAGAGUAAUCAGAACUGUGUAAUCUUAUUAAUGAGACUGAGUUACAUAUAUAUAGUGUCGAGAUUAGGGCUUUACAAUACAAGAGGAUAAGCUACAGCAUGUGUAGUCAAAGAAGGGUGGAGCGCUUAUUUUGAAAUGAUCCAAUGAGGUUCUCCACAUGUGUAAGGCAUCUAGUAUCUUGGAUAAGAUCCCUUUUACCUUUCCAGCUGUGCUAGACUGUCACGCCCAGCUUCUUCCUUUCCCUUAACGGUCACAACUCAUCCUAAGCUUUGGGUAAAGCUUCUUCCCUUCAACCGAGUUACCCGGGUAAGUCUCUUUUACCUUUGGUCGAGUCUGGUCGAUACAAUGUGUACGGC
Molecule: long non-coding RNA, 3658 nt
Filed under: Brassica napus (rape)
Lineage: Eukaryota; Viridiplantae; Streptophyta; Magnoliopsida; Brassicales; Brassicaceae
Description: long non-coding RNA (BNAP_LNC012567)
Source: RNAcentral